AAGAACUUAGGAUAAUACUAAACCAAGGGCCUUCAAAGCCCUAAAUGGGGGUGAAAAUCCCCCAGUUCUUG
RNAcentral lists this transfer RNA (71 nucleotides) under Zenion japonicum (Japanese dory). RNAcentral describes it as "tRNA-Trp". It matches the Rfam family "tRNA". Rfam says of the family: Transfer RNA (tRNA) molecules are approximately 80 nucleotides in length. Their secondary structure includes four short double-helical elements and three loops (D, anti-codon, and T loops). The record is from RNAcentral. Lineage: Eukaryota; Metazoa; Chordata; Actinopteri; Zeiformes; Zenionidae.